UUACGAACAAUAUCGGCGCCUUCGACCCAAUCAUAUUCGCGACUAUCGGUGUCGCUCCCUCGAAUGAAACGGAAUGUCUGCUUUGGCUCUUCCGCUCCUCCUGGUUUGUCCAAAUUUCCCUCCUGAUCGUCCGGCUCAGGCUCAUCAUGUUCAAGGCCGAAUUCAAAAUCUUCAAGGACUCCAUGCCCUCCCACAUUCGUCUCAUGACGGUUCUCAGCCCCUAUGGGAU
This 229-nucleotide unclassified non-coding RNA is filed under the name Hevea brasiliensis (rubber tree). The record is from RNAcentral. Lineage: Eukaryota; Viridiplantae; Streptophyta; Magnoliopsida; Malpighiales; Euphorbiaceae.